AGAGAUGACACACUAUACCCAAUGUUAAUUUUUCAACUUGCACAAUUUGAAAAUUGAUCAAAAUAAAUUAACUUAUGAUAUUUAGUAUUGACAUCAGGAAAAAGCUUAGCAUAGUAGUAGGUAUAUGAUAUUUAGUAUUGACAUCAGGAAAAAGCUUAGCAUAAUAGUAGGUGUUAAAUACUGUCGACAACUUCUUCAUUAUUAUCCUCCUCGGUCUUCUGUGUGAUUCUUCCAUUGUCACACAAUAUUCAC
RNAcentral lists this long non-coding RNA (252 nucleotides) under Capsicum annuum. Its description in RNAcentral is "long non-coding RNA (CANN_LNC017666)". The record is from RNAcentral. Lineage: Eukaryota; Viridiplantae; Streptophyta; Magnoliopsida; Solanales; Solanaceae.